ACGAUGAUGCCCAGCUUGCUGGGCGGAUUAGUGGCGAACGGGUGAGUAAUACGUGAGUAACCUGCCCUUGACUCUGGGAUAAGCCUGGGAAACUGGGUCUAAUACUGGAUACUACCUCUUACCGCAUGGUGGGUGGUGGAAAGGGUUUUACUGGUUUUGGAUGGGCUCACGGCCUAUCAGCUUGUUGGUGGGGUAAUGGCUCACCAAGGCGACGACGGGUAGCCGGCCUGAGAGGGUGACCGGCCACACUGGGACUGAGACACGGCCCAGACUCCUACGGGAGGCAGCAGUGGGGAAUAUUGCACAAUGGGCGGAAGCCUGAUGCAGCGACGCCGCGUGAGGGAUGACGGCCUUCGGGUUGUAAACCUCUUUCAGUAGGGAAGAAGCGAGAGUGACGGUACCUGCAGAAGAAGCGCCGGCUAACUACGUGCC
RNAcentral lists this ribosomal RNA (432 nucleotides) under Kocuria sp. Its description in RNAcentral is "bacterial SSU rRNA". It matches the Rfam family "Bacterial small subunit ribosomal RNA", at positions 66 to 509 of the family's 1533-position model. Lineage: Bacteria; Bacillati; Actinomycetota; Actinomycetes; Micrococcales; Micrococcaceae. The record is from RNAcentral.